Small nuclear RNA from Apteryx haastii (Great spotted kiwi), 178 nucleotides. Its record names the gene U1. It matches the Rfam family "U1 spliceosomal RNA". From Rfam's summary of the family: U1 is a small nuclear RNA (snRNA) component of the spliceosome (involved in pre-mRNA splicing). Its 5' end forms complementary base pairs with the 5' splice junction, thus defining the 5' donor site of an intron. The record is from Ensembl. Lineage: Eukaryota; Metazoa; Chordata; Aves; Apterygiformes; Apterygidae.
ACAAGCAACCAGUUGAAAAGAGAAAAGUUUACUAAGUAGCAAGCCACUGACUAAUUUUUCCAAGGUGAGGUUCAAGGCUUGCACUCCGUCUGUGCUGACCCCUGUAAUUCAGUCAAGUGCAGGGAACUCCACAGCAUAAUUUAUGGCAGCUGGGGACUGCAUUUGUACUCUACCCUGG